UAAUUACUUGAAAGAUUUGGGUGCUGUUGCGAACGCAGUUUUAUCAUCCGCUUUUAGAGUUACUGAUGGGGGCUUGACAAGGAUUAGCAAGCAAAGGCGCUUGCUGGCAAGCCUGAGGACCUGAGUUCGAUCCCUGGGACCCACAUAAUAGAACUGAUUUUCCUACAAGUUACCCUGACUUCCACGAGGGUGAUGUGGCAUACACACACAACAAAUACAUACCACACACACACACACACACACACACACACUAAAUAAAUAAAUAAAUAAAUAAAUAAAUAAAUAUAAAAACUCACUGAUAGGAUUCUUAAGCAUUUUUACCACAUUUGCCAAAAUGCAUUCCUCAUACUUAACUUUUCUUUGCUUGGUCACAGCUCCUUGUAGAGGAUGUUGGUGAGCUGUCUUGGGGAGGUAAUUUCAUUCUUCAAAGAUAUAUACCCUAACUGUCUAAUCGUGCCUUCUGCUUGCCGUGGGUUAUGCAACAAGUCACCAGUCUUGUGAUCACGGAGUUGUUUGUCUUUACUGGUUUGACCUAGUCUAUAGAAGGGAGAGCUGUAUGCUGGGGGGAACGGAUUUUUUGUUUUUCAAGCCUGAUGAGAAAAAUGCAAGUCCAUAAAGGGAAAGUCGUGAGACCCAAUCACAGAAAGUCACGAGUGAAACUUGUCGGUCCUGUGAGAGGACUCAGCUGGUAACGGUGCUUGUUCUACAAGCCAGCAUCCCGAGACACCUGUAAAUGUGACAGAGAGAUCCGGCUCCACAAGGUUGUCCUCUGACCAUACAUGGACCGCCGACCCACGCACAUACAAUAACAGUGCAGUUUUUAAAAAAUAACUUGAAGACACAUAAAAAAUUCUAAAGCAAUUAAAUGGAAGAAGAUCCUUAAAAGCAACUAAAGGGAACGGCGACUUGUAGGGUCUGUGAACUUCCUGCAGCUGCUGUAAGAAACUGUCAUAACCAUCGGAAGAGUGGAUCUCCUCUCACAGGACCCGAGACAGCCAGUCAGACCCAGUGUUGCAACCCUCUGACAACUGGAGGCUGGCUAGGCUUGCUUCUCCCAUGUGGUGUCCUGCAGCUUGUGCCAACGAGACUUCAGGCUUUGCAUCUGUCCUCACUGAGCAUGUCUGUCUACGUUUCCGUUUUUUCAGGACAUGUCUGAUCAAGGUCCCAUCUUACUCAGGCAUGACCUCAUGUUGACUGACAUCUGUAAAAAGCCUUAUCCCAUAAGGUCACAUUGAAAGUAUUAGAGGCUGAGGGGACAUUAUUGGUACUCUAAAACUUACCCCAUGUUUACCACAUUAAAAUAACAGAUAUUUGU
This 1315-nucleotide long non-coding RNA is filed under the name Rattus norvegicus (Norway rat). RNAcentral describes it as "long non-coding RNA NONRATT019966". The record is from RNAcentral. Lineage: Eukaryota; Metazoa; Chordata; Mammalia; Rodentia; Muridae.